This 3262-nucleotide long non-coding RNA is filed under the name Zea mays. Its description in RNAcentral is "long non-coding RNA (ZMAY_LNC002853)". Lineage: Eukaryota; Viridiplantae; Streptophyta; Magnoliopsida; Poales; Poaceae. The record is from RNAcentral.
UGGGCGGGACCUCUCCCUCCCUCCCUUCCCACUCCUCCACCUCCAAUCCUCCUCCCCGACCACAGUCCACAGCAGAACCCGUUGCCGUUGCAGCCGUAAGGGGGCUAUCGCGCUUGGUUUUUGGCGCUCUCCUGUGAGCCUCCGGCUGCAGCGUCGCAGAGAUGGGUUGUGCCCCGGUGGUGUGGGCCGCGGCGUGGUUGCUUGCUGCCGCGGUGGCAGGUUUCGCGGAUCCCGGCGGCCUCGAGCGCGCGUAAGUGCAGUAACGCCUGGGCCCUUCUACCCGCUUCCUACAUUCACGUGUCAGAUUGCGUGUGCGUUCAGUUGUUCGUCAUUGCGGUUAACUGUAGCUUCGGGCUGUUGAGCACUUGAUCAUCUUAUUUAUCUUAUCCUGUCCACAGACAGUGAUCUAACCAAAUGAGUCAUUUUUGCUGUUUGGAUGGAUGGUGAGCCCAUCUUAAGAGUGAACUAAAUAACCUGAGAGAAUGGGAGUGAAACAUGUCUGCAUUAGUCUUCUUCCGUUUAUUUCUACAUUUAAGUCAGAUGACAAAAGAGAGAGAGAGAGACAGAAACAUAGGUCAUUGCAACAAGAUAUAGUCUGUAAAAAGCUCAUUUCAGUUCCAGACUUUUGAUAACACAAACCUGCUGCCUUUUGCAUACCAAGCUCUGUCUCUUUUAUUGUAAAACACAAACCUGCUGAACCCAACACUAGUUGAUGACUGCAAGCUGAUGACUGCUGAUUUGAACACUACUAGCUGAACCAAACACUGUAUAAUGACUGCUGCUCUGAACUGUGCUAGCUGAUGACUCUUGAUCUAUGAACAUGAUAUUCAUCACUGGGUUGGAUUAUUCUUUAAAGGACAAUUUCGAGCAUCAUGAUAGUCUACUUGCUUGCAACACCUGCACAUACGAGGAACUUUCUGUUUCUUCUCCACACUGUCACCAGGCUUCUUUACCUUCUGACCAGGUUUUAUUCGUUUGCACCUACCCACAGAUUUGACUUCAUUAGGUGGCUGUAUAAUAACAUGGUUAGGAAUUGAACAACCAAUAAAGGACUCGAUCUCUUGAACUUGACUUGUCAUUCUCUCUGGAAGCAAUAUGGAAAGAUCUUCAUCAAAUGCAACAAUACUAUCCCGAAGUGUUUGUAACCCAUUGUUUGAUCCUUCGGCACGGUGAAUUAAUUCUUCAAUCUUGCUUCUAAUUUCAGAUGCCAACUUUGCAUUAGUUGUUUCUACAGCAUCCUUUGGAACUUCUUUCAACAUGUUUCCCUCUCCAUCGAAGACAUCAUCCUUAGUCACUAGUUUAGUCCAUCUCUUCAAAACAAACUGAUCUGGAAUUUUUUUAAGUGAUGGACAUUGUAAAACACGAAUUAGAUGGCAACAAGGAAUACCAUACAUCUCAAAGAACAUACAAGUGCAGUGCCCAUCGUUUGUUGUAAUAUUGAAACAGACCUCUCUCAUCUUUUUUCUUUCAUCAUUAACUGUUGAUAUUUUGUAGUCUCCCUCCCUUACAAUUGUCUCUAUGACACAAUUAUCCCGAGCAUUAAUAAUUUGUUUUUGUAGUUCAGAGAAAACAUUGAAAGUGAACACCUCACUCCCAUGCCUUUCUAAUGCCCAACUAGUCUGCAAAACAGGUGAUGUAUGCAGACUGGCAUUAUCAUUUUCCAAUUCUUGAUGCCUCUGUUCAUCCAUUGCAUUAACAAACCUGAUCCAAAAUUCAACCAAUGUAUUUUUGUAACCAAUGAAGCGGUUGAAAAAUGAGUUGGUACUUUCUGAUCUUGAGGUUGUGUUAAGAAUUCCAGCUAAAAACACAUGUCUAAAGAAAACUGGGACCCAUGAUGCACGGAUUUCAUAACGGAUUCUCAACCAAUCAUGACCUUGUAAACCAAAUUCAGAAAUAAUAGAAGCCCAUUGAUGCUCAAAUUCCUCUCGAGUUUCAGAUGCCCAUACACAUAAGUUGAUGCGUUGAUAAAGUAACUUGUUUUCCCUCAUUUGCGGCGGCAACUUUCCAGGAAGCUUUUGCAAAAUAUGCCACAUGCAUAAUCUAUGUGUGCUGCUAGGAAACACUAUAGAUAUUGCAUUCCUCAUGCUAUUGGCUUCAUCUGUUAUGAUGAGUCGUGGUGCAGCCCCUCCCAUUGCUCUCAAGAACGUACGAAACAACCAUGUGUAUGCCUCAGUUGUCUCGUUGCUUAACAAUGCAGCACCAAACAAAACACAUGACUUGUGAUGAUUGAUACCUGUGAAUGGUGUGAAUAUCAUGUUGUAGUGGUUGGUGUUGUAUGUUGAAUCAAAUGAGAGAAGAUCACCGAAAUGUGAGAAAUUCUUUCUGCAUGUGGGAUCUGCCCAAAAAACAUGUACAAGCCUUCCCUUUUCAUCAACCACAUAGUCAUAAUAAAAUGUAGGAUUUAAUUCAUUUUUUGAGGCAAGGUUGUCAAUGAACAUUUGAGCAUCUGAUGAUGUGAUACAACUUCUCAACUGCUUAUGAUAGUUUUGCAAAUCCCUCUUGUUGCACCCCACAUUCUCAAAUCCACCUUCGCUAAUACGAAGAUAUCUGUAUGCCCCACUUGUACCGAUGCCUCCCUUGUGGCAUGCCACUAAUGCACGCUUAGCCUUCUCAUUAACUUCUCUGUUCGACCUAAUCAAGUGGACCUUGUCUGGUGAAACAAGACUAUGUGUAUGUGAUUCCACAAAUAUCUCCACCCGAAACUUAUUAUCUUCAAUCAGCUUGACAGCUAGAACUGCUUCACAACCACACCUAGAAAUCUUUUGAAUACGUUUCGGUUUGCUGUCUACCUUUUUCUUAGACCUAUAUCCCUGUUUAGAACACAACCAUCUUUGCCAUCUUCUAACACCAUUCAAAUCUGUAUGUGGACCAAUACGAACUCCAAAACGAGCCUCUUUUGCAUAUCUUCUAUAAAAUUCCUCUGCAUCUUGCAAUCUUUCAAAAAUUUGUCCAACAAAUGGCUUCAUAGAUUCAUGUACUUCAGGAACAUGAGUAGCAUACUACAACAUUGAAAAGUUAUUAUCAAUUAAUCGCCACAUAGAACGUAUCGAGAUAUGCCACAAUUAAAUUUGUAAAAAAAAUUGCUCACCAUCAAGGGGGACAUGACUGUAUUCUUUUCAGGUGUUCCAAAAGGUGAAAUGAGAUGUGUGGUUCCUGCUGACGGGAUCCAUGUGGUUGUGCUUGAUGGGGUCAGGACCCAUGGGGCUAUGCUCGUUUGGGGCAGAUCGACGUCAACCAUGGCAUCACAGGUAGAAGAUCGAGG